UUCCAGACGAAGUUCAUUGUUGCA
Molecule: non-coding RNA, 24 nt
Filed under: Drosophila melanogaster (fruit fly)
Lineage: Eukaryota; Metazoa; Arthropoda; Insecta; Diptera; Drosophilidae
Source: RNAcentral